UAGGGAAUAUUGGACAAUGGGGGCAACCCUGAUCCAGCCAUGCCGCGUGAGUGAAGAAGGCCCUCGGGUUGUAAAGCUCUUUUGUCCGGAAAGAAAAGCAUUCGGUGAAUACCCGGAUGUUCUGACGGUACCGGAAGAAUAAGCACCGGCUAACUUCGUGCCAGCAGCCGCGGUAAUACGAAGGGUGCAAGCGUUACUCGGAAUUACUGGGCGUAAAGCGUGCGUAGGUGGUUGUUUAAGUCUGAUGUGGAAGCCCUGGGCUCAACCUGGGAAUGGCAUUGGAAACUGGGCAGCUAGAGUGCGGUAGAGGGUAGUGGAAUUCCCGGUGUAGCAGUGAAAUGCGUAGAGAUCGGGAGGAACAUCGGUGGCGAAGGCGACUGCCUGGACCAGCACUGACACUGAGGCACGAAAGCGUGGGGAGCAAACA
Molecule: ribosomal RNA, 427 nt
Filed under: uncultured bacterium
Lineage: Bacteria
Description: bacterial SSU rRNA
Rfam family: Bacterial small subunit ribosomal RNA
Source: RNAcentral